UACGGGGGGGGCAAGCGUUGUUCGGAAUUACUGGGCGGAAAGGGCUCGUAGGCGGCCAACUAAGUCAGACGUGAAAUCCCUCGGCUUAACCGGGGAACUGCGUCUGAUACUGGAUGGCUUGAAUCCGGGAGAGGGAUGCGGAAUUCCAGGUGUAGCGGUGAAAUGCGUAGAUAUCUGGAGGAACACCGGUGGCGAAGGCGGGUCUCUGGGCAGUAACUGACGCUGAGGAGCGAAAGCGUGGGGAGCGAACAGG
RNAcentral lists this ribosomal RNA (253 nucleotides) under uncultured bacterium. Its description in RNAcentral is "partial 16S ribosomal RNA". It matches the Rfam family "Bacterial small subunit ribosomal RNA", at positions 524 to 776 of the family's 1533-position model. The record is from RNAcentral.